Molecule: non-coding RNA, 471 nt
Organism: Epinephelus lanceolatus (giant grouper)
Lineage: Eukaryota; Metazoa; Chordata; Actinopteri; Perciformes; Serranidae
Source: RefSeq, a predicted model, not a curated record
UAGGCAUGAGAGGCUGAAACUGAAACCAACAACAUAACUUCACAUUGCAUCUGAGUGAUACAGCUAAUCCGAGAACAUCACUGAGACAAGAAAAAUAAAAUAACGAGGAUGGGCACUGCAGGAAGCUAUAACUUGUGGUGCCUUGUCGGUCAGUGGCUUGACUAUAUCCACCGCUGGUUUAGUGAUUAUUGGAGGUGUGGUAGUGGCAGGAGUAGUAGCAGGAGUGAUUGUGUACAAGCACUUGUGCAAAGAAAAGUCGCACUGACAGAAGAGAUCAUUCCUCUCAAAGUACCUGCAUGGCGCUGCACAGUGGCAACGGGUGCCUGUGAUACAUCAGUUUGUUUGUGGAUUAUGUUGCCCAUAGUCAAAGCCUGUGGAGUGCACUGCUGUUGGCCAUCUGACUUUAAAUGUAGUGUAUUUUGUUGUACCAAGUGUAUCUGGAAUCAGCAAUAAAAACAAAAUGCAGACCUA